GUGAGUGACGGGGCUCGACCCUCCCGGAUGAGGAGGGGAGCCACACCGCCUCGUUACACCCAUGCUCAGGCCAAGGCAGGGGAAAGGCUGGAGCCGUACUGGGUCAGGAAAGCUCUGCCCCUCAGGCACUGCUGAGCAUGCUUGUGGGGAAAGGAGCAGUGCAGAGAGAGCUCCAGUAGCCUAGACAAGGGGAGGAGAGAGAGAAACUAUUUCUUGGAGACAUGGUGCCCUGAGAUGAUGAUGAUGAUGAUGACAGCAGCAGCAUCGACUCUUACCGAGCAGGGCUCUCAAUCCAUUUCUAAUCUACUGGACAAAGCCUCAGAGACUGACUAGGAAGACAUGAAGAAAUAGUUCAUUAUGUCUCAAUUAACAGAAGACAAAGCUGAGGAACAGCCAGGUACCUGGACGAGCGAGUGAUACAUGUCAACUCUGUGUUCUUGGGGAGCCAGGGUGCAGUAUCCAGCCUGUCUGACUCAUGAAGGACACCCCUGCCCCCAGCCUCUGCUUGAACCAAAACCGAUCAGAGAGAAGACUUACAGAAAGCAAUAAAAGGUGGUGGGAAACUGACAAGAGUGAUAGGAUUAAGCUAACUCCCCUAGCUUCAUCUGCAUCAAAUAUGGGGCAUGGAGGCAUCUCCAUUAGCAUACAGAAUGGAUAACAGAGAUUCUAAGGAUUCUAGUGAGAUGUCUUUACUACAGGGCUUUGGAGCAACAGG
Molecule: long non-coding RNA, 715 nt
Organism: Gopherus evgoodei (Goodes thornscrub tortoise)
Lineage: Eukaryota; Metazoa; Chordata; Testudines; Testudinidae
Exons: 3
Source: RefSeq, a predicted model, not a curated record